GACGAACGCUGGCGGCGUGCUUAACACAUGCGAGUCGAGCGGAAAGGCCCUUCGGGGUACUCGAGCGGCGAACGGGUGAGUAACACGUGAGUAACCUGCCCCAGACUUUGGGAUAACCCUCGGAAACGGGGGCUAAUACCGGAUACGACACAGCUUCGCAUGGGGUCUGUGUGGAAAGUUUUUCGGUUUGGGAUGGGCUCGCGGCCUAUCAGCUUGUUGGUGGGGUGAUGGCCUACCAAGGCGACGACGGGUAGCCGGCCUGAGAGGGCGACCGGCCACACUGGGACUAAGACACGGCCCAGACUCCUACGGGAGGCAGCAGUGGGGAAUAUUGCACAAUGGGCGGAAGCCUGAUGCAGCGACGCCGCGUGAGGGAUGACGGCCUUCGGGUUGUAAACCUCUUUCAGCAGGGACGAAGCGUAAGUGACGGUACCUGCAGAAGAAGCGCCGGCCAACUACGUG
RNAcentral lists this ribosomal RNA (462 nucleotides) under uncultured bacterium. RNAcentral describes it as "partial 16S ribosomal RNA". It matches the Rfam family "Bacterial small subunit ribosomal RNA", at positions 28 to 507 of the family's 1533-position model. The record is from RNAcentral.